RNAcentral lists this ribosomal RNA (484 nucleotides) under uncultured bacterium. Its description in RNAcentral is "bacterial SSU rRNA". It matches the Rfam family "Bacterial small subunit ribosomal RNA", at positions 28 to 526 of the family's 1533-position model. The record is from RNAcentral.
GACGAACGCUGGCGGCGUGCUUAACACAUGCAAGUCGAACGGUGACCCGGUGCUUGCACCGGUGAUCAGUGGCGAACGGGUGAGUAACACGUGAGCAACCUGCCCCCGACUCUGGGAUAACCCCGGGAAACCGGAGCUAAUACCGGAUACGAACCGCACGGGCAUCUGCGCGGUUGGAAAGAACUUCGGUCGGGGAUGGGCUCGCGGCCUAUCAGCUUGUUGGUGGGGUAACGGCCCACCAAGGCGACGACGGGUAGCCGGCCUGAGAGGGCGACCGGCCACACUGGGACUGAGACACGGCCCAGACUCCUACGGGAGGCAGCAGUGGGGAAUAUUGCGCAAUGGGCGAAAGCCUGACGCAGCGACGCCGCGUGAGGGAUGAAGGCCUUCGGGUUGUAAACCUCUUUCAGCAGGGAAGAAGCGAAAGUGACGGUACCUGCAGAAGAAGCACCGGCUAACUACGUGCCAGCCGCCGCAGUAACAC